Long non-coding RNA from Gasterosteus aculeatus aculeatus (three-spined stickleback), 423 nucleotides. Lineage: Eukaryota; Metazoa; Chordata; Actinopteri; Perciformes; Gasterosteidae. The record is from Ensembl.
CGCUACACAACGUGUUACCGGAACAUUCUGCCUCCAGCUGGCAGCGAGGGACUGUGGAUGUCUGAAAUGUGACAUGUACCUGUUAUAUCCUUUGGCUUCUCCAUGGCCUCCUGGCACACCACUAUAUGAUCUCAGACUUUGGGCACUUAACGAAGGACUGAGACCAAUGUUCACCCUUGUGUAGAAGUGUGCAGUCUAUCCAGCUGCCGUCCAUCAGAUCAUCAGUACACAGCACAUCUACCCCGGCCCUCCCACCUUCAGUGGUACAAACCUCUGGAUCGUCCCCCUUUUCCUUGUCCGGUCUUCCACUGUCAUCGCCCUGUCCUCAGCUCCUCCACCACUGAGUACAUCACCUCACUCCCUACUCUGCGUUCCGUUCCACCUCACACAGGGGUAGACCUGGCCAUUCCACAUCCCCAUUCU